RNAcentral lists this ribosomal RNA (253 nucleotides) under uncultured bacterium. RNAcentral describes it as "partial 16S ribosomal RNA". It matches the Rfam family "Bacterial small subunit ribosomal RNA", at positions 524 to 776 of the family's 1533-position model. The record is from RNAcentral. RNAcentral also lists the same sequence under 1 other name.
UACGUAGGGGGCAAGCGUUGUCCGGAAUUAUUGGGCGUAAAGCGCGUGUAGGCGGCUCGGUAAGUCUGCUGUGAAAGUCCAGGGCUCAACCCUGGAAUGCCGGUGGAUACUGUCGAGCUAGAGUCCGGAAGAGGCGAGUGGAAUUCCUGGUGUAGCGGUGAAAUGCGCAGAUAUCAGGAGGAACACCAAUGGCGAAGGCAGCUCGCUGGGACGGUACUGACGCUGAGACGCGAAAGCGUGGGGAGCAAACAGG